GGAAAUGGAAAUGAUGUCUCAAAGUAAAAGGUCUGAGCAGGAGGAAGUGUUGGUAGUAAUGAAAUGUGUGGAACAAGGAAGAGGGCCCCUGUCCUUUUCCAAGCUAUGAUACUGUGACGUUCGCAACCUCUUCUACAUUAAUUAGACCAUGCUUUUUGUUGAAGCUUGGUCAAGGGUUCAAAAAAGGCAUGAUUACAUUCUAACAUUGAAUGCUAAUCUAGAUUUCGCCCUGACAUUUUGUUCCCACAAGUGAUACAUAUUUCAGCUAUCAUCACUUUCACUUGCAUUGAUCAAACCUUCUUGCUGAUCCUCCUCCCUGCUACCUUAGACCCCUUCAUCUCAUCCGGAAAAGGGAACUAGUCGAUGAAAGCAAAUGUAAAUAGUAUGUGAUUGACUUUCGUAUUUGCUUAGAUGAAUGUAUUUGUGUUUAGCGGAUAUUAAUAGAGGGCUUUUGUAGUUAUUCAUUUCCUAUUACACUAUAUUGAACACUGAAAAGAGUGUUGAACUAUGAAGUGUGCUAAUUGUGAUUAUCAUAAAAGUCAGCUAUUGGGAAGACAAAAAUGAAAUAAUGGCUUCUUUAGACAAUGAGAAUGAGUACUUGUAAUUACUGUCUCGCUUGCCUGAGGACUUUCAUAUCGUUGUUUUCGGGACAUAUUGCAGGUUUGUUAAGAUUAGCUCGGUAAAAAUUAUGCCAAAUGCCUCGCCUCGCUUCCUGGAUGUGCGCACUUGUCUUGGUGGUUUUCGUAUUUGGUUGAUGGAUAUCAAAGAACUUUUUCCUAAUCCUGUCCUCUUUCUUUCCCG
This 801-nucleotide long non-coding RNA is filed under the name Capsicum annuum. RNAcentral describes it as "long non-coding RNA (CANN_LNC013429)". The record is from RNAcentral. Lineage: Eukaryota; Viridiplantae; Streptophyta; Magnoliopsida; Solanales; Solanaceae.